Small nucleolar RNA from Cavia porcellus (domestic guinea pig), 127 nucleotides. The record is from Ensembl. NCBI's taxonomy places the organism in Eukaryota, Metazoa, Chordata, Mammalia, Rodentia, Caviidae.
GCGAUUCUUCAUCAAAGCCAGCAGUUUUCUGAAGCUGUUGGUUUCAAGCAGAAGCCUAAAGCAUCUUUCUAUGGUCUGUAGGCCAUUUCAGACCUUUAGAAAUGUAAUGGUCAAUUUAGAAACAAGU